RNAcentral lists this ribosomal RNA (235 nucleotides) under uncultured bacterium. RNAcentral's name for it is "partial 16S ribosomal RNA". It matches the Rfam family "Bacterial small subunit ribosomal RNA", at positions 97 to 334 of the family's 1533-position model. The record is from RNAcentral.
GGCGGACGGGUGAGUAAUGUAUAGUUAAUCUGCCCUUUAGAGGGGGAUAACAGUUGGAAACGACUGCUAAUACCCCAUACUCCUUUUAUCUUAAUGAUAAUUGGGAAACGUUUUUUCGCUAAAGGAUGAGACUAUAUGGUAUCAGGUAGUUGGUGGGGUAAGAGCCUACCAAGCCUAUGACGCCUAGCUGGUCUGAGAGGAUGAUCAGCCACACUGGAACUGAGACACGGUCCAG